AUUGAACGCUAGCGGGAUGCUUUACACAUGCAAGUCGAACGGCAGCGCGGACUUCGGUCUGGCGGCGAGUGGCGAACGGGUGAGUAAUGUAUCGGAACGUGCCCAGUCGGGGGGGAUAACUACGCGAAAGCGUAGCUAAUACCGCAUACGCCCUACGGGGGAAAGCAGGGGAUCGUAAGACCUUGCACUAUUGGGGCGGCCGAUAUCGGAUUAGCUAGUUGGUGAGGUAACGGCUCACCAAGGCGACGAUCCGUAGCUGGUUUGAGAGGACGACCAGCCACACUGGGACUGAGACACGGCCCAGACUCCUACGGGAGGCAGCAGUGGGGAAUUUUGGACAAAGGGGGCAACCCUGAUCCAGCCAUCCCGCGUGUGCGAUGAAGGCCUUCGGGUUGUAAAGCACUUUUGGCAGGAAAGAAACGUCGCGGGCUAAUACCCCGUGGAACUGACGGUACCUGCAGAGUAAGCACCGGCUAACUACGUG
This 484-nucleotide ribosomal RNA is filed under the name uncultured bacterium. RNAcentral describes it as "partial 16S ribosomal RNA". It matches the Rfam family "Bacterial small subunit ribosomal RNA", at positions 29 to 507 of the family's 1533-position model. The record is from RNAcentral.